RNAcentral lists this ribosomal RNA (241 nucleotides) under uncultured bacterium. RNAcentral describes it as "partial 16S ribosomal RNA". It matches the Rfam family "Bacterial small subunit ribosomal RNA", at positions 530 to 770 of the family's 1533-position model. The record is from RNAcentral.
GGGGGCAAGCGUUAUCCGGAUUUACUGGGUGUAAAGGGAGCGUAGACGGCAGCGCAAGUCUGGAGUGAAAUCCCAUGGCUUAACCAUGGAACUGCUUUGGAAACUGUAUAGCUUGAGUACUGGAGAGGCAGGCGGAAUUCCUAGUGUAGCGGUGAAAUGCGUAGAUAUUAGGAGGAACACCAGUGGCGAAGGCGGCCUGCUGGACAGAAACUGACGUUGAGGCUCGAAAGCGUGGGGAGCA